This 432-nucleotide ribosomal RNA is filed under the name uncultured bacterium. RNAcentral describes it as "partial 16S ribosomal RNA". It matches the Rfam family "Bacterial small subunit ribosomal RNA", at positions 29 to 506 of the family's 1533-position model. The record is from RNAcentral.
AACGAACGCUGGCGGCAUGCCUAACACAUGCAAGUCGAACGAGACCUUCGGGUCUAGUGGCGCACGGGUGCGUAACGCGUGGGAACCUGCCCUUAGGUUCGGAAUAACUCCCCGAAAGGGGUGCUAAUACCGGAUAAUGUCUUCGGACCAAAGAUUUAUCGCCUUUGGAUGGGCCCGCGUUGGAUUAGCUAGUUGGUAGGGUAAAAGCCUACCAAGGCGACGAUCCAUAGCUGGUCUGAGAGGAUGAUCAGCCACACUGGGACUGAGACACGGCCCAGACUCCGACGGGAGGCAGCAGGGGGGAAAAUUGGAAAAGGGGCGAAAGCCUGAUCCAGCAAGGCCGGGUGGGGGAUGAAGGCCUUAGGGUUGGAAAGCUCUUUUACCCGGGAUGAUAAUGACAGUACCGGGAGAAAAAGCCCCGGCUAACUCCGU